Podarcis lilfordi (Lilford's wall lizard) is the source of this 956-nucleotide non-coding RNA. NCBI's taxonomy places the organism in Eukaryota, Metazoa, Chordata, Lepidosauria, Squamata, Lacertidae. The record is from the annotation of a GenBank genome assembly.
GCAAGAAAUUUCCCCAGUACUACACCAUUGCCCUAGUGCGAGGUACCAUCAUUUCCCAACAUGUCUUCACAGGUGAUUGGUAUCACUUUUUUAAAAGUUUUGAGUGUCUUUUUAACUCAUCCAGCCUUGUUCUAGGAACCCAGGAAUAUGCCUUAUACAGAGUCAGGACAUUGGUCCUUCUAGCUCAGCUCUCGGUCCACCAUAAAUUGCCCUUUGGAAGCACCCUUUGUUCCUUAUUUACUUAUUUUUUUAUUGCCAUGCUUGCUUUAAUAUGUGUAUUCUUAGCUGCCAUGGAUUGUUAUUUAUUUACAAAACAAAAGAGUUAUGUCCAAAGUGGAUCUUACUCAGAGUAAACCCACUGAAAUUAAUGGACAUGACUAACUUCGGUCCAAUAAUUUUAAAAGGUCUACUCUGAGUAGAAAUUGGUUGCCUACAGCCCAUUAUUUUUAAAAUAUUGUCUGCAGAUCAAGCUGUUAAUAAAGCCACAGGGAAACAGUUGGCAAUCUAUUUCUGAGCAAUUAAAACAAAUGAACUAUCCCACCCAUUUUAUUUCCAUUGUCCAGUUUCCAUCUCCUUUACCUCCCCUCCCACCUUGCUCCUGGCCUGCAAUUCCACAUUUUUCUAUUGCUACAUGCAGUUUUUCUCUUUUUAAAAUUGUUUCUAUUUCCUUUCUUUUCAGUUUUGCAAUUGGGGUGUUUGAACAAUUUCAGUUACCCAUGGCACUACUGUUUGGAGAAGACACCUAUAUAUUUGGGGACAACAAAAAGUCUCAGCAACUCUUGAGGACACACCAUAACAUCUGAGGUGCUUCCACAUGGCAGUUUAUUGUAGACUGGAUAUUGGUCAUAGGAUACUGGUGGGCAAAGAUAUCAGUUCUAAUUCUCUGAGUUUCUAAUUUUUCCGAUCUUAAAUGCAGUUCUCCACAUUUUCACAACAAUUUGCAUUAAAAAAAAAAA